Molecule: transfer RNA, 73 nt
Filed under: Sphenomorphus maculatus
Lineage: Eukaryota; Metazoa; Chordata; Lepidosauria; Squamata; Scincidae
Description: tRNA-Asx
Source: RNAcentral
CGGACAGAAGCCCGCUGGAUUGGGUGUUUAGCUGUUAACUAAAGUUUUACGGGAUCGAGGCCCGUCUGUCUAG